UACAGAGGGGGCAAGCGUUAUUCGGAAUUAUUGGGCGUAAAGAGCUCGUAGGCGGUGUGUCGCGUCGGUCGUGAAAACUUGGGGCUUAACCCUGAGCUUGCGGUCGAUACGGGCAUCACUUGAGUUCGGCAGGGGAGACUGGAAUUCCUGGUGUAGCGGUGAAAUGCGCAGAUAUCAGGAGGAACACCGGUGGCGAAGGCGGGUCUCUGGGCCGAUACUGACGCUGAGGAGCGAAAGCGUGGGGAGCGAACAGG
This 254-nucleotide ribosomal RNA is filed under the name uncultured bacterium. RNAcentral's name for it is "partial 16S ribosomal RNA". It matches the Rfam family "Bacterial small subunit ribosomal RNA", at positions 524 to 776 of the family's 1533-position model. The record is from RNAcentral.